RNAcentral lists this ribosomal RNA (849 nucleotides) under Bacillus subtilis. Its description in RNAcentral is "bacterial SSU rRNA". It matches the Rfam family "Bacterial small subunit ribosomal RNA", at positions 491 to 1341 of the family's 1533-position model. The record is from RNAcentral. Lineage: Bacteria; Bacillati; Bacillota; Bacilli; Caryophanales; Bacillaceae.
CCACGGCUAACUACGUGCCAGCAGCCGCGGUAAUACGUAGGUGGCAAGCGUGUCCGGAAUUAUUGGGCGUAAAGGGCUCGCAGGCGGUUUCUUAAGUCUGAUGUGAAAGCCCCCGGCUCAACCGGGGAGGGUCAUUGGAAACUGGGGAACUUGAGUGCAGAAGAGGAGAGUGGAAUUCCACGUGUAGCGGUGAAAUGCGUAGAGAUGUGGAGGAACACCAGUGGCGAAGGCGACUCUCUGGUCUGUAACUGACGCUGAGGAGCGAAAGCGUGGGGAGCGAACAGGAUUAGAUACCCUGGUAGUCCACGCCGUAAACGAUGAGUGCUAAGUGUUAGGGGGUUUCCGCCCCUUAGUGCUGCAGCUAACGCAUUAAGCACUCCGCCUGGGGAGUACGGUCGCAAGACUGAAACUCAAAGGAAUUGACGGGGGCCCGCACAAGCGGUGGAGCAUGUGGUUUAAUUCGAAGCAACGCGAAGAACCUUACCAGGUCUUGACAUCCUCUGACAAUCCUAGAGAUAGGACUUCCCCUUCGGGGGCAGAGUGACAGGUGGUGCAUGGUUGUCGUCAGCUCGUGUCGUGAGAUGUUGGGUUAAGUCCCGCAACGAGCGCAACCCUUGAUCUUAGUUGCCAGCAUUCAGUUGGGCACUCUAAGGUGACUGCCGGUGACAAACCGGAGGAAGGUGGGGAUGACGUCAAAUCAUCAUGCCCCUUAUGACCUGGGCUACACACGUGCUACAAUGGACAGAACAAAGGGCAGCGAAACCGCGAGGUUAAGCCAAUCCCACAAAUCUGUUCUCAGUUCGGAUCGCAGUCUGCAACUCGACUGCGUGAAGCUGGAAUCGCUAGUAA